GCUUAACCAAGUGAGCCCAGCGUUUUCAUAUCCUUAGAUAUGAAAAAUUCGUUGCUAAAGUCAUAAAGGGGCUCCUAGGAAUAGCACUUUCCUUACCUUGGCUCCGAUCUGGUUACCACACUGGCCGAUCUGAAUGUGUACGAUUUCACGCAUCCUCGCUUCCCGUCCAAGUGUAAGAUCUUCGCAGAACCUUCCGUCUCUGGAGCCG
Long non-coding RNA from Lynx canadensis (Canada lynx), 208 nucleotides. RefSeq lists it as uncharacterized. Lineage: Eukaryota; Metazoa; Chordata; Mammalia; Carnivora; Felidae. The record is from RefSeq and is a predicted model, not a curated record. The transcript has 2 exons.